AUUGAACGCUGGCGGCAGGCUUAACACAUGCAAGUCGAGCGGGGGAAGGUAGCUUGCUACCGGACCUAGCGGCGGACGGGUGAGUAAUGCUUAGGAAUCUGCCUAUUAGUGGGGGACAACAUCUCGAAAGGGACGCUAAUACCGCAUACGUCCUACGGGAGAAAGCAGGGGAUCUUCGGACCUUGCGCUAAUACAUGAGCCUAAGUCGGAUUAGCUAGUUGGUGGGGAAAAGGCCUACCAAGGCGACGAUCUGUAGCGGGUCUGAGAGGAUGAUCCGCCAGACUGGGACUGAGACAGGGCCCAGACUCCUGCGGGAGGCAGCAGUGGGGAAUAUUGGACAAUGGGGGGAACCCUGAUCCAGCCAUGCCGCGUGUGUGAAGAAGGCCUUAUGGUUGUAAAGCACUUUAAGCGAGGAGGAGGCUACUCUAGUUAAUACCUAGGGAUAGUGGACGCUACUCGCAGAAUAAGCACCGGCUAACUCUGUGCCAGCCGCCGCCGUAA
Molecule: ribosomal RNA, 501 nt
Filed under: uncultured bacterium
Lineage: Bacteria
Description: partial 16S ribosomal RNA
Rfam family: Bacterial small subunit ribosomal RNA
Source: RNAcentral